Manacus vitellinus (golden-collared manakin) is the source of this 326-nucleotide long non-coding RNA. RefSeq lists it as uncharacterized. The transcript is spliced from 3 exons. The record is from RefSeq and is a predicted model, not a curated record. NCBI's taxonomy places the organism in Eukaryota, Metazoa, Chordata, Aves, Passeriformes, Pipridae.
CACAUCUCAGUCUGCUUUUCCUCCUCUUCAUUUCUCCACGAGGAAGUUUAGUUUUCCUCAAUCAUUUCAAGCUGUGUGCUUAGGAAGUCAGGAAGGACACCCAGGACAUUCAACAUCUCUGAGGAUGCCGUGAGCAGGAAGUGGAUGUGGCAGGAAAACAGAUUUAUGGUCAGCGAGACAAACCCUGAUCAUUAAUGCCACAAAGUAACAGCAGAAGCCAACGUGUUCUGAAGGAUUGAAUUGCUUCAGUGGCAAAGAGGAGAGACACCCCCCCAAAAUUCAGCCUGGUUGGGGAAAACAGAAGAUGCUGAUUAGAGCUGCUCCAG